Molecule: long non-coding RNA, 1514 nt
Organism: Tribolium castaneum (red flour beetle)
Lineage: Eukaryota; Metazoa; Arthropoda; Insecta; Coleoptera; Tenebrionidae
Exons: 5
Source: RefSeq, a predicted model, not a curated record
ACAAUUGCUAUAACGGAAAAAAAAUUGCUUUUACAGUAAACUGGUUUUUUUAAACGAGUAGGCCGAUGUGUCAGCGUGUUUUUGAAGGAAACAUUUUAUAACCUACUGUCGGAGGUUAGCAUUCUUCGGUUGAAGGGAGAGAGAGCUACCCUCUCAUCUGCCGGAUAAAAUUGAGCUUUUCUCUUUGUAACCUCUUCUAUGAAAUUUAAAGGUCUUCAAUUUCCUUUAGUGGUUCAGAUGUCCGAAUUGGAAGGUUACCAAUAUGUGCAAUUACAGAGAAUCUUCGUAAGUGAUUUUAAGCAGAGAAGGAACUAAUAUAGCGAUUUUUCAAUUGAAAUAAUACUUCUCUUCACCAAGUUCAUAAAAAUAAAAACAGCCGUAAUAAAUAGCAGCUGAAAUGCAGAUGACGUUGUUUAUGGGAAUAAAGUUCUCUCCAUUCAUUAUUGUACUCUGUGGGGAAAGUGAAAAUUAUUAGGAACCAGGAGUGUGCUUAGAAACUUCUAAAAAUUGUGAAGUUUUAAACUUUUAGAUGGUCCUGCUCGCAGUGUUAUGUGUUAAGUGACCUAUUCGCUAAUUCAACAUUAAGUUUUUUUCUAGCAAAUGGCCAGUUUGUGUUGAAAUACCGAGUAUACAACUUAGCAUCUCUAACAAUUUAUGUUUGGAAACACUAAAAACGAAAUGUGUUUCAUUGAAAAGUGCACAACGCUGUAGCACUGGGGUAAAUUCAUUAUUAAAGAAAAUUGUGCAUUAGAGGAAUAGUUAAUAAAUUACUCUAACCGCCAUAAACCUAAAAUUUAUCGUGAAAGUUUAACAACUAUCUAGGUAGCUUCUAUCUGUAGGUUAUUAACUUUUCAACUUAAACAGGAGCUCAGAGAGAGGGUGCAUCUCUCUCACAACAUAUAAAGUCGUAAUUGAAUAUUAAAAAAUAACCAGUGCAGAUUUGUAAGUGGAUUAUAAAUAAGUUAUUUGUUUCACGGCGCAGUUUAUUACUCAGGACCCACCUCCAGCAUGGCGUGUUUAGUGUACCUACUUUAAAUUGAUAUUAAAUUGUGCGAGAGACGUUGGAGCUUUUUUCUUCGUCGAAGCUUUCGCUGUCAAACAAAAAAGUAAGAAUGGCAUUCCGCCGUUAUCAAGUGUCUUGAAAGAGAGGGCGCUCCCGUCGGGGAUUACAUUGCCGUUCCAAUUAAGGAGCACGGCUGUCUCUGUCACCGUCCCAUGUAAAACCAGUACUCUAAUAGGGCGCACGGAUAUUGAAAAGACAAUUCCUGUUACGGCCCACUUGAAUACUAAGUUGUACACGAGAAGAGCAUUCACGGUCUGAAUAUGUGCAUAUUUUGAGACGCUUUGGCCAUUCCGGAAUUUUUUAUGUCUACUCGUAUACAGUGAUCUUCAUAUUAAAUGUUAUUAUUCUAUAAACACGAGUAGAGGUAGUACACCUUUAUUCUAAGUAGUUACUAUAAACACUAUGGUAUAUUAUUUGAUUUAGUUAUUUGUUUAUCUUACUCGAUAGAAUA